GACGAACGCUGGCGGCGUGCUUAACACAUGCAAGUCGAACGGACAGGCCCUGCUUUUGUGGGGUGCUCGAGUGGCGAACGGGUGAGUAACACGUGAGUAACCUGUCCUUGUCUUUGGGAUAACUUCAGGAAACUGGGGCUAAUACCGGAUAGGAGCUCCUGCUGCAUGGUGGGGGUUGGAAAGUUUCGGCGGUUGGGGAUGGACUCGCGGCUUAUCAGCUUGUUGGUGGGGUAGUGGCUUACCAAGGCUUUGACGGGUAGCCGGCCUGAGAGGGUGACCGGCCACAUGGGGACUGAGAGACGGCCCAGACUCCUACGGGAGGCAGCAGUGGGGAAUAUUGCACAAUGGGCGGAAGCCUGAUGCAGCAACGCCGCGUGCGGGAUGACGGCCUUCGGGUUGUAAACCGCUUUCGCCUGUGACGAAGCGUGAGUGACGGUAAUGGGUAAAGAAGCACCGGCUAACUACGUG
This 468-nucleotide ribosomal RNA is filed under the name uncultured bacterium. RNAcentral's name for it is "partial 16S ribosomal RNA". It matches the Rfam family "Bacterial small subunit ribosomal RNA", at positions 28 to 507 of the family's 1533-position model. The record is from RNAcentral.